RNAcentral lists this ribosomal RNA (422 nucleotides) under uncultured bacterium. RNAcentral's name for it is "bacterial SSU rRNA". It matches the Rfam family "Bacterial small subunit ribosomal RNA", at positions 355 to 774 of the family's 1533-position model. The record is from RNAcentral.
UAAGGAAUAUUGGACAAUGGAGGCAACUCUGAUCCAGCCAUGCCGCGUGAAGGAAUAAGGCCCUAUGGGUUGUAAACUUCUUUUAGACGGGACAAAACCCCUUUACGUGUAAAGGGUUGAUGGUACUGUCAGAAUAAGCAUCGGCUAACUUCGUGCCAGCAGCCGCGGUAAUACGAAGGAUGCAAGCGUUAUCCGGAAUUAUUGGGUUUAAAGGGUGCGUAGGCGGACUAAUAAGUCAGUGGUGAAAGCCUGCAGCUUAACUGCAGAAUUGCCAUUGAUACUGUUAGACUUGAGUACAGUUGAGGUAGGCGGAAUGUGUCAUGUAGCGGUGAAAUGCUUAGAUAUGACACAGAACACCGAUUGCGAAGGCAGCUUGCUAAGCUGUAACUGACGCUGAGGCACGAAAGCGUGGGGAGCAAACA